AUUGAACGCUGGCGGUAUGCUUAACACAUGCAAGUCGAACGGCAGCAUGGUCUAGCUUGCUAGACUGAUGGCGAGUGGCGGACGGGUGAGUAACGCGUAGGAAUAUGCCUUGAAGAGGGGGACAACUUGGGGAAACUCAAGCUAAUACCGCAUGUACUCGAGAGAGUAAAGCAGGGGACCUGUAGGCACGGCGCUGUAAGAUUAGCCUGCGUCCGAUUAGCUAGUUGGUAGGGUAAAGGCCUACCAAGGCGACGAUCGGUAGCUGGUCUGAGGGGAUGAUCAGCCACACUGGAACUGAGAGACGGUCCAGACUCCUACGGGAGGCAGCAGUGGGGAAUAUUGGACAAUGGGGGGAACCCUGAUCCAGCAAUGCCGCGUGUGUGAAGAAGGCCUGAGGGUUGUAAAGCACUUUCAGUGGGGAGGAGGUUUGGAAGGUUAAGAGCUAUUCAAAUGGACGUUACCCACAGAAGAAGCACCGGCUAACUCCGUGCCAGCCGCCGCCGUAA
This 506-nucleotide ribosomal RNA is filed under the name uncultured bacterium. RNAcentral's name for it is "partial 16S ribosomal RNA". It matches the Rfam family "Bacterial small subunit ribosomal RNA", at positions 30 to 523 of the family's 1533-position model. The record is from RNAcentral.